GAGUUUGAGUCCUGGCUCAGAACGAACGCUGGCGGCAAAGCCCUAACACAUGCAAGUCGAGCGAGAUCUUCGGAUCUAGCGGCGGACGGGUGAGUAACGCGUGGGAACGUACCUUUGCUACGGAAUAGCCUCGGGAAACUGGGAGUAAUACCGUAUGUGACCCUUUCGGGGGAAAGAGUUUAUCGGCAAAAGAUCGGCCCGCGUUGGAUUAGGUAGUUGGUGGGGUAAUGGCCUACCAAGCCUACGAUCCAUAGCUGGUUUGAGAGGAUGAUCAGCCACGCUGGGACUGAGACACGGCCCAGACUCCUACGGGAGGCAGCAGUGGGGAAUCUUAGACAAUGGGGGAAAACCCUGAUCUAGCCAUGCCGCGUGAGCGAUGAAGGCCUUAGGGUUGUAAAGCUCUUUCAGCUGGGAAGAUAAUGACGGUACCAGCAGAAGAAGCCCCGGCUAACUCCGUG
Molecule: ribosomal RNA, 458 nt
Filed under: uncultured Paracoccaceae bacterium
Lineage: Bacteria; Pseudomonadati; Pseudomonadota; Alphaproteobacteria; Rhodobacterales; Paracoccaceae
Description: bacterial SSU rRNA
Rfam family: Bacterial small subunit ribosomal RNA
Source: RNAcentral